Molecule: long non-coding RNA, 4158 nt
Filed under: Sus scrofa (pig)
Lineage: Eukaryota; Metazoa; Chordata; Mammalia; Artiodactyla; Suidae
Description: lncRNA (ENSSSCG00005002650.1)
Source: RNAcentral
CACUGAUCGAGGCCAGAAAUCGAACCUGUGUCCUCAUGGAAACUAGUCAGAGUCGUUUCUGCUGAGCCACAGUGGGAAUUCCGCAUUUCUUCUUAUAGGUACUUUCGUUGUAAUUUUUUCCUCGUUCCAUUUUUUUUCCUUCUCCAGAGCCAAUGGAGUUCUAUUUAUUCGUUUAGGUUUUGAGAUCAAGUAUGGGAUUAAAAACCAGAAUCUGAGAUAGGAUGAUCCAGAGGAAGCAGAAAGGAACAAGCUUCUGGGGAGCAAGUCCAGUGAAGUCUUGGAAGCUCUGACCAAGGAAGAGGCUGGGCAGGUCGAGUUGUCCAGGGGAGCGAGGCCAGAGCCCCCGCCCCUGGAGGACGAGUCAUGGAGGCUUCUUCCGGGGAGAAGGCCCGCACCCCGCGCCCUCCCCUGCCGUGGGGGACACCGCGCCCAGAGCUCUCCUGCUCACCACCAGCCAGGCCCCGACCGGGAAAAGCUUCCACAUGUCGCGAACCCACGGAGCCUUCAGCCGAGGUUCGCGUCUGGUCUGAGGCCUGAGAGACGCCUCGCAAGGGCCGUGAGUGUGGGAACGGCUUCCGCGAGCACGGCCGCCUCACGGCCCCCUGAGGACCCACAUAGGGCAGAGACCCCGCCAGGGCGGGGUCGUGGGAGAAGCUUCGGCCCGCGCUCCAGCCUCGCCGUCCACCAGAUCAACGAUUCGGGGGAGAAGCCUCAUCAGUGCACCGCGGAGGGAAGCGAUCCUACGGCUCCCUGUGCAGAGCUCCCCGGCCGGCCCGGCUCCCUCGAGUGUGGGCAGCGUGGGAAAAGCUUCAACAACGCUCCACUCGAGUGCCCACCAGAACCCACCACACCCCGGGAGAGGCCUUGCCAGUGCCCUCAGUGUGGGAGAAGCUUCCUUAAGAUCUCUGCCCCCAUCUGCAUCUGCCGGUGCACAGACAGGUGCUCAUCCCACAGGAAAGAGGGGACGUGCUCUGCGUGUGGAGGGCACCUGGCAGAGGGAGCCUUCGAUCAAUUUGUGUGUGGUGGGUGCUUCCUUCUGCUUGCGGAGGGUUCUCCUGGGCAAUCUCCGCUGAGCCGCAGAUUUCAUCACGACUGGAUCUUAAGAACCACGUCCAGGAAUUGGAAUCAGCAUAAGAAUGCCCAGCUCUUGCCAGCUCUGCCAGGGACACCUGAGUCCUGUCUCAGUGGGGACUUCAAUUCUGCUUUGAAGCAGACAAGGCUGUAGGAUCCGUAUAUUCUGCAGGGAAUCUGGGGGACCCCUGUUCCCAAGAGAAUGGGGUGGAGCUGGUGGCCUGAGCAGUGUUUGGGCCAUGUCCGAGAGGAAAGUCGCCCUGCUGUGGGAAGCAUGUCUGGAAGCUAAUGGCCUGGAUCUCUUCUAACCUGAUAACUGACCUCUAGGGAUCUAGGGUUGGGGACCACGGCUAACUUCAGAGCAGAUCCCUACCCUGUAAAUCAGCCGCCCCAGAGAAGGAACAGAGGAAAGGAAGGAUAGGGUAAGCUGCUGGACAACACGCAAUCUGUUUCCCUUGGCGACUUAGUCUCAGAGCAAGCAUAACAUCGAGUAAUUUUUUUUUUUUCUUUUUUUCCAGCCAAACCUGUGGCAUAUGUAAGUUCCCAGGCUAGGGACUGAAUGUGAACCACACCUGCAACAACACCAGAUCCCCACCCACUGCAUCAGGCCAGGGAUCAAACCCACACCACCACGGACAUAACACCAGAUCCUCAGCCUGCUGCUACAGUAGGAACUCCAAGAUCCAGUUAAUCUUUUGAGAUUUCUCAUCUCAUCAUCAACUCCACCCCAGUUCCUGGUUUCUUGUCUCAAAUAGUAAACAGUUUCUAGAGGUUUACAAGCAUUACUGUUUCAGGUGACAACAAAGAUAUUUCUCUCUCCAUUUCCUUGGCCUUUAGCUGUAUGUUCUCCACCAACAACAUGCAGGAGACUUCAGGGUCCUUAAGAGAAUCUAAGGGAGGAGUUCCCGUCAUGACACAGCGGAAACGAAUCCGACUAGGAACCAUGAGGUUGCAGGUUUGAUCCCUGGCCUUGCUCAGUGGGUUAAGGAUCCAGCGCUGCCAUGAGCUGAGGUGUAGGUCACAGAUACGGCUCAGAUCCCACCUGGCUGUGGCUGUGUCGUAGGCCGGCGGCUACAGCUCUGAUUAAACCCCUAGCCUGGGAACCUCCAUAGGCCGCGAGUGCAGCCCCGGAAAAAGACAGAAAAAAAGACAAAAAAAAAAGCUUACUGAUCCAGAACAAGGCACUGGUAUUUACGCUUUGGGGAAACCUCUAGGACAAAGAGUAAAAGAUGGGUAAGUUGUCCACAUUCCUUGGCAUGUGUGCAUGUCACAUGUCAGUAACUUGUACGAGGUUGUGAAACCAAGGAAUCACACAUGAGCAAAGGAAAAUGUAUACCCCACGGCCAAAAAAAUUCUUCUUUCCAUUUUCUGGGAAUGGCGGAAGCAAAGGCAGGACAGAAGAGUAUCCUUCAGUGUUUCCUCAGCUUGAGCCUUGCCUGGGCCACCCCCACACUUCCCUGCACACACGGUCCUUGAGCAUGGCCCUCAGGACAGGCUAUGCAGGCCAGUUCCCAGAGCCACACACUUGCUUCUGCUCUACACGCAGGGGAAAAAUGCUAUCCUGGAAAGGCCUGGGCAAAGGCAAAGAGGUGGGCUUAAUAUGUCCUGGUUGGGACAGUGUGACUCUGUUGGAGGUUCGUGGUGGGCAAGAGGGAGAGCCCAGAGGUGGAUCCACUAUGGAUGAGCCUUGUACACCGGCUCAACGAAGCUGGCUUUGACAAGUGGGGAGUGCCCGUGAACAUCAGUGGAAGCGCUAAGGAAGUGGAGGCCUCGCCAGCAGGCUCCUCCCACUCCUGGGUCUGCUGCUGCCAGGGACACCAGGAUGCAACUGCUGUACUCCUUGCAUUCUUAGGUGGCCUCUACCCUCCCAGCUGCUUUAUCCUCUGGUCUGCUGGGCAGGUAAGGGAACAGAGGGUCCUAGAGCUCCCUACCUUUGCCUAUCAGCCUCUCAGGAUGGCCUGAUGUAGCCAGGUAAGAAGUGGAACAUACAUCCAGUUAUUCCUCCGUUUGGGAAAUACUCGAUUGCCUGUAAAGCACCAGGUAUUAGCUAGGAGCCAAAACCAGAGCAAUGCAUGAAGCAGACACUGUAUUUUCCAGAACCAGCCUCACUGGACCUCUCAAAAAAUACAGCACCAGUCAGGCUGUACCACUCAGCCCCCAAGCUCCAAGAGCUGAGUCCCAGCUCUGCAGGGCCACUCUUUCAAGCUUAUGAGUUCGGAUAAACCCGACCUUUCUCCUGUGGUCCCCCUACUCCCUGUGUGGUCGCUGCUUCCUACACUUACUCCUCUGUCACCUUAGUGUUUACCUCCCCCUGACAGAUCAGCCUGCUCACUGCACUGAGCACUUGCGAAUACACGUGACGCAGGAUGUGCAAAAGGGCACACACACAAGUCUAUUGAUUUCCUCUGAUGUGUAAUUAGACCUCUGGUUUAUUGCAGUCCUUCAGGCAUCUAUUAAAAGGCAGUCUUCCCCUGUACAUUUAACCUUGGGGCUGUCCAUGGGUGUGUAAACCUCCCUUCAUCACUGAAACAUUAUAGCUAAUUGAUACAAUUUUUCAAUGGACCUAUUUUCCCCCCAAGGAUUCCUAACCACCUCCAUAGAAUGGAUCAAACACAUACACAACCCAGAGAAACUGGUCAAGGCCUAGAGACCGUCACCCUUUUCACACACCUGUUGUGGUUCCUCAGCCCGAGGUGGUGGAUGGGUGGUCACAGCCAAUACCAGAGCUGGGCCCUGCAGGCCUCCUGCUGCACGUGCUUUCCUCUUUACCUCAUCUCUGCCCCUUCUCUCAGGGGCUGCCUUACCAGUCAGCUUAGGAGCGGCCCAGCGCUUCUGGGGUCCUGGGCUAGACCCUGCUCGGCUCAUCACCGACUUCAUUUUGGACGAUUCCCCGCUUUCACCACCAUCUGCUCCAUCCUCCUCACCGUCCUGCUGCUCAUCUCGUCUUGGCUUCUGGGGCGGAGCCGUGGAGCGCGGGUCCGGCCCGGCGGGUAAACCCUGCGUCGACCGUGGGACGCACUGCUCAAACCGUCUUUCCCAGCGCACCAGGCCUGAAACCGCCGCGGUGAGGGGGCACUUCCGGAAGCU